Long non-coding RNA from Gavialis gangeticus (Gharial), 121 nucleotides. RefSeq lists it as uncharacterized. The transcript has 3 exons. The record is from RefSeq and is a predicted model, not a curated record. NCBI's taxonomy places the organism in Eukaryota, Metazoa, Chordata, Crocodylia, Gavialidae.
AGCUGCCUGCAGACUGGUUUGAUUGUCCUGAGCUUUGACUUGCAUCAAAAUGAGCAAGGGACAAUCAUUUACACACACAGCUUGAAAGGCAGUUAACUCAAAUUAGGCAUGAUUGUCCCAG